This 76-nucleotide transfer RNA is filed under the name Clostridioides difficile. RNAcentral describes it as "tRNA-Thr". It matches the Rfam family "tRNA". Rfam says of the family: Transfer RNA (tRNA) molecules are approximately 80 nucleotides in length. Their secondary structure includes four short double-helical elements and three loops (D, anti-codon, and T loops). Lineage: Bacteria; Bacillati; Bacillota; Clostridia; Peptostreptococcales; Peptostreptococcaceae. The record is from RNAcentral.
GCUGGUGUGGCUCAACGGUAGAGCAGACUGACUUGUAAUCAGCAGGUUGUAGGUUCGAUUCCUAUCACCAGCUCCA